Molecule: ribosomal RNA, 441 nt
Filed under: Cyclodius granulatus
Lineage: Eukaryota; Metazoa; Arthropoda; Malacostraca; Decapoda; Xanthidae
Description: partial 16S ribosomal RNA
Rfam family: Bacterial large subunit ribosomal RNA (bases 321-441)
Source: RNAcentral
AAAGGUAGCAUAAUCAUUAGGGGUUUAAUUGGAACCUGGAAUGAAGGGUCGGACAAAGGAAGAGCUGUCUAUUAGAUUAAAUUUGAAGUUUACUUUUAAGUGAGAAGGCUUAAAUAAAUCAAAGGGACGAUAAGACCCUAUAAAGCUUUAUAUAUAAUUUAAAUUUAAUUAAUUUAAAUAUAAAGAUUAAAUUUAAUUAUUUUAUUUUGUUGGGGUGAUGUGAGUAUAAUUUGAAUUAACUGCUUAAAAAAAUUUCUUUCAUAGAAGGUUUAUUAAUAGAAUGAUCCUUUUUAAAGAUUAAAAGACUAAGUUACUUUAGGGAUAACAGCGUUAUUUCUUUUGAGAGUUCAUAUCGAAAAAGGAGAUUGCGACCUCGAUGUUGAAUUAAAAUAUCUAUAUAGUGCAGUCGCUAUAAAAGAGGGUCUGUUCGACCUUUAAAUU